GAUGAACGCUAGCGGCAGGCCUAACACAUGCAAGUCGAGGGGUAACAUAGAAAAGCAUGCUUUUCUGAUGACGACCGGCGCACGGGUGCGUAACGCGUAUACAACCUACCUUUUAGCGGGGAAUAGCCCAGGGAAACUUGGAUUAAUGCCUCAUAGUAUAUAAGCUUCUCCUGAAGUUUAUAUUAAACAUUUAUGGCUAUUAGAUGGGUAUGCGUCCUAUUAGUUAGUUGGUAAGGUAACGGCUUACCAAGGCAGCGAUAGGUAGGGGUCCUGAGAGGGAGAUCCCCACACUGGUACUGAGACACGGACCAGACUCCUACGGGAGGCAGCAGUGAGGAAUAUUGGACAAUGGGCGAGAGCCUGAUCCAGCCAUGCCGCGUGCAGGAAGACUGCCCUAUGGGUUGUAAACUGCUUUUACAGAGGAAGAACCACCCCCACGUGUGGGGGUUUGACGGUACUCUGCGAAUAAGGAUCGGCUAACUCCGUG
RNAcentral lists this ribosomal RNA (487 nucleotides) under uncultured bacterium. Its description in RNAcentral is "bacterial SSU rRNA". It matches the Rfam family "Bacterial small subunit ribosomal RNA", at positions 28 to 507 of the family's 1533-position model. The record is from RNAcentral.